RNAcentral lists this long non-coding RNA (855 nucleotides) under Numida meleagris (helmeted guineafowl). RNAcentral describes it as "lncRNA (ENSNMEG00000016283.1)". Lineage: Eukaryota; Metazoa; Chordata; Aves; Galliformes; Numididae. The record is from RNAcentral.
ACAACAUCCACAGAUUGCACUAACCAUCUGAACUGCUGCAGAGGAAGAAGCAGGCUUUCUUACUGCACUGUCCUCUCCAAAGGCAUAAAUUUAUAGGAAAAAAAGCUGAAUGUGAGUAGCUGCAGGAAGAGGAGAACCCGUUUCCUCCCCCAGGCAGUGGAAAAGUGAAUUUACUCCAUAUUCUGCAGAAUGCCAUGGAAGAUCAGGCUCCACAUCACCAUACGACUACCCACCACCAGUGUCAUCAGCAUCAGACCAGGGAGUUAUUUACACAGUUUGCAUGUCUUUCUGGAAAUGAAAGAAUUGAUUUUUGCCUUGCCACGCAGACUCCAUGUCAGUGUAAAUCCACUGAAGCUUCCCUUAUCAAGCACCAACAUCUGAGUGGAUGCAUGACAGCUAAUCAGGACAUAUGGUGAAUCAAAAGGCAUAGCAUUCCAGAGACCUUAUCUGGAGAAGGCCAGGAACUUCCCUCCUCAGCAUGGGAAGGAGAAUGCUCCAUAGAUGCCAAUGGCAUGUGUGGCUUUACUGCUGAAGAAGUUAACACUUCAGGCUGAAUGCGUAAAUGCAAAAAGCAGUUAGCACAGCUGCACCCUCAUGGGAGUAUGAGGGUAGAAAAUAAGGAAAAAAGAUGAACUGUGAGUGAGACAUAAUAGAGAAGCUCCGGAUUGGAAGAUUUCGCAGCCAAGAGCUGACAUAGUUCUGCUGUGAGGUCGCAUGAAAAAGGAUUAUGGCGUCUGCACAUAUGAGCCCAUCAAACCAUUUGUAUUUUAAUUACAUAUGGGAUGAAAAAAAAAAAGUGUAAAAUUUGCCAUGUGCUGCAUGCUUAAUUUGUAUUAUCUGGAAAUCUUAAAAGGA